This 479-nucleotide ribosomal RNA is filed under the name Burkholderia multivorans. Its description in RNAcentral is "bacterial SSU rRNA". It matches the Rfam family "Bacterial small subunit ribosomal RNA", at positions 13 to 485 of the family's 1533-position model. Lineage: Bacteria; Pseudomonadati; Pseudomonadota; Betaproteobacteria; Burkholderiales; Burkholderiaceae. The record is from RNAcentral.
UUGAUCCUGGCUCAGAUUGAACGCUGGCGGCAUGCCUUACACAUGCAAGUCGAACGGCAGCACGGGUGCUUGCACCUGGUGGCGAGUGGCGAACGGGUGAGUAAUACAUCGGAACAUGUCCUGUAGUGGGGGAUAGCCCGGCGAAAGCCGGAUUAAUACCGCAUACGAUCCACGGAUGAAAGCGGGGGACCUUCGGGCCUCGCGCUAUAGGGUUGGCCGAUGGCUGAUUAGCUAGUUGGUGGGGUAAAGGCCUACCAAGGCGACGAUCAGUAGCUGGUCUGAGAGGACGACCAGCCACACUGGGACUGAGACACGGCCCAGACUCCUACGGGAGGCAGCAGUGGGGAAUUUUGGACAAUGGGCGAAAGCCUGAUCCAGCAAUGCCGCGUGUGUGAAGAAGGCCUUCGGGUUGUAAAGCACUUUUGUCCGGAAAGAAAUCCCUGGCUCUAAUACAGUCGGGGGAUGACGGUACCGGAAGA